AUUGAACGCUGGCGGAAUGCUUUACACAUGCAAGUCGAACGGUAGAGGGGGCAACCCCUUGAGAGUGGCGAACGGGUGAGUAAUAUAUCGGAACGUGCCCAGUCGUGGGGAUAACGUAGCGAAAGUUACGCUAAUACCGCAUACGAUCUAAGGAUGAAAGCGGGGGAUCGCAAGACCUCGCGCGAUUGGAGCGGCCGAUAUCAGAUUAGGUAGUUGGUGAGGUAAAGGCUCACCAAGCCGACGAUCUGUAGCUGGUCUGAGAGGACGACCAGCCACACUGGGACUGAGACACGGCCCAGACUCCUACGGGAGGCAGCAGUGGGGAAUUUUUGGACAAAUGGGCGCAAGCCC
This 351-nucleotide ribosomal RNA is filed under the name uncultured bacterium. Its description in RNAcentral is "bacterial SSU rRNA". It matches the Rfam family "Bacterial small subunit ribosomal RNA", at positions 30 to 384 of the family's 1533-position model. The record is from RNAcentral.